Molecule: long non-coding RNA, 8933 nt
Organism: Egretta garzetta (little egret)
Lineage: Eukaryota; Metazoa; Chordata; Aves; Pelecaniformes; Ardeidae
Exons: 3
Source: RefSeq, a predicted model, not a curated record
CAAGUCCAGGUCAACUUUUUUUUUUCCCUUGUCUAGCAAGUUUCCUGGGGAUAUGUGUUUUAAUGAGGACCCAAAUGUCCCAAUUAAUGCUCCAAGUCCAGAUGCUCAUGCUCAGGAAGGCUCCUGCUGCAGAGGGGUUGUCCAGCCCAUGCUGGUGUGUGCCACAAAUACCACUGCAUCAACACUGCAGGAAAACCCUGGAGCUGGGACAUUGGACUGAACAAGGUUUUCUUCAGUGCUCACAGCUGGCCGUCAUUUACCAGCAGAAAGAAUUUCACAUUUGCAGUGAGACAUUUCUUCUUCCUUUACUUUAAAAGGUCCUUGAUAGUAAUCUGUUAAUUACUUGCUUCUUCCCCUGCCGGGUCAGUAAUAAAUUAUUCAGACCUUUUUUACAUUGGGCCCCACUUGACGUGUAGGUCAGUGUUGGUAAAAUACGACGUGAUGAGAUACCAGAGGGGCUUGCAUCAACCACGGGAAAGCACAGACCUGCAGGGAAAUGAGGUUGAUGUCUCUUCCCCUCAUUUUGGUUUUGGUUGCUUUAACACCACUGAAAUCUCCUGUGACUGACAGCCUGAGAAGUCAGCUCAGGUAUAUGAGGAAGCCCUUUUCUGAGGGCUUUAUGGUAAAACACUUGCGGUGCUGACACACGCAUCCAGCUGCUCUGAUUUUGGGCACAAAGUGCACCCCAACAUGGCUCUCAGUUUGGGGGCAACCUGCCCCAUCUGCUGGGAGCUGGCUGUACCCGGGGUUUGGCAGGCAAAGCUCCCGGUUUCUUGGGUGGACUUUUUUCCUAGAGUUCCUGUAAUCGUAAGAGGGAUGUCCCGAAGCCUCUGGGGUUUUGGCACCAGCCUUUCUGGGUCGCACGCUCUCAUUUGCACCACAGCAAGAUGUACUCCUGAUAACCCUCGUCAGGCCUGGGACACAGAGCUGCAAGGUCUCCAGGUCUGGGGUGUUGCUUUCUGCCAAAUUACAGACUAAUAGCUCAGGAGGGCUGGGCCCCUUCAGCUGGGGAUCCUCCUAUGUCCUCAUUUGCCCAUGCAUAUGCAUAUGCAUGUGUGUGUGUGUGCACAUAAGUAUGUGUAUGUACGGGUGCGUAUAUGUAAUCACAAGACAAAUUUGAAUGAGAGAAAAUGUAAGACUAAGUGUGGUGCUGGCUGGAGAGAGGUCAGGAAGGGCUUUUUAGACUCCAGCAUGGCCUCUGGUGCUGCAUCGGUGUAAGGGGGGGUUCCUCACCUGGAAGUCCAAUUUGGUUGCAAAAGGGCAAGGAAAUGGCAUUUACGAACCAAAUCCAGUACAAGCCAAAUGAAAAGCUGGGAUUGUUAGCCGCAACAAGUGUGGAGCUGGAGUUAGGGAAGCCUGCUCUUUGAUUAAGGCUGCCAAACGCAUGAACAGCAUGGCGAGCAGGAUAUGAACAGUGAGAAAGACUCCUUAAAUGCAGAGUCACCCGGUGAUGGGGAAGCUGUGAGUGGAAAAGAGCUAAAGGAUGAAAAAUUGCUAACUCUGACUCAGAAGGCAGAGGUGUUCAGUCAAUAUUUUUGUUUGUACUUGGCUCUUUGAUGUGUUCUUCAGCAAGAAACGUGUAUUUUCCAUGCCAUCAUGUACUGGGGGUAUCAAAUAGGAGAAUAGUAAAGGUGAACAGGUAGUGGGCAUGAGGUUAUCUUUGCUAGAUAAGAUGCUGUAGAUACUGUUUCUGCCUCCUCCAUCUCCAGGAGUUCCUAGAAAGAUGCUGGAAAAUGGGGAGGUUUCAAAGAAAAAAGAACAACAACAACAAAAAAGCAAGAAAACAAGAGAAAUUAGCAAGCAGUAGGAAGGAGUCCAUCUGACUGGCAGAAGAGCCAAGCCCCUGUGACUUUGGCUGCAAAAGUGGAGGCCUUAAGCCUUGUGCUGCCAGGGGUGGCUGUGUGCCGCUCGCCUCCCACUGGUGCUCCUACUGCCUGGGAUGGGGGCAGGUUAAGUCAGCCUAAAGGUACAGCUCAGGAUGUGGCUUCAUGUUAGGAAAGAAGCAGCUGCACCGCCCCGUGGAGAGGAGCCCUCUCUUCUGCAGGAGCUUUUCUGCAUGGGGUUUUGGUGGGUCCCUACCCCCUUUCCUUGGGAGCAGUUGACGACACCUGAGGUCUACUGCUUUCUUCUUUUUAAACUCCACUUGCCGGUUUGCAUCUGCCAAAGGCAGAUGAUGCCAGCAAAGGGCAAUGCUUUUCAUUGCGUUCAGGCCAGCUGCUGGGUCCCAGUGGCCAUAUGCAUUGGGGGGGUCUUCAGGAGAGCAGUGCCAGGAUUUGCCCUUGCAGAUGAUCAGUGGUCCAGCAGGGAUGGGUGGCUAUGCCAGAGCUCCCCGUAGCACUAGGCCUAUUGGUGGUGCCUGAGUGGAGGUGCCAGCACCUUUGCUUCUGGUAGCAAUUUAAUACCCUUCUUGGCAUUUUAUGUUUAAGGUGCAGUAGGCCUUGCUGAGAUGCAUGAGGGUGGCAGAGCUAGCCCACACAUGCAAGCAGGAGGGAAAGUGCUGCACAUUAUGAAAUUCGGCAAGCAAAAUAAUCUCUUUUCAUCGUAUAGUCGCUAAACCAAAGCAUUGUACAGGUGUUGUCUUCAGCAGCGGAUAUGCAGUUGCAGGACUUCCCAUCUGGUUGCAUCAGUCUCCCAAACUGAUCUGGUGGGCAGUGCUGCUGAUGCAGUGACUAAUGAGCAGGAGGGAACCUGAAAUCCUGCCACUUUCUAGAAACUUUGCGAAGACCAAGCAGCUUAGAGCCCACCCUGGCUGCCAGUCUGCAGAGCCACGCUGGGGGAGGCUCCGCAUGCACUUACAAAAGCGAAAUGGUAAGCCUGAAAGCCCAAACUCGCUGCGUCCCAAGACUCUGGGUUUUUUUACCCAUUGCAGAUAUGUUUUAUUUCUCCCUGGUUGCAGUUAUUUGCUGCUUUUAUGGUCCUGGUGAUCCCCUACGUGUGGCUCUCCCAGGGUUUCUUGCAGGGGAGCCUUUGAGGCACCACCCGGUGGUGGGACUUUCCUCCUGCAUCUUCAGGCACCCCCACCACACGUCUGAGAACCCCAGCGGCCACUGAGUGCAAGCUCUGCUUGGGAGUCAUGGCCUGGCAGCAGUACAGCCUGGGAGAGGAGCUGGAAAAUCCCAGCUCCAGCCUAGACUGUAUCUCUCCAUCUCCAGUGCGCGGCUGGGCAGAUGACUCAGUGCCUGUGCUUUAGCUUCCCCGUCUUUAUAGAUGACGUCAGUACUGCAGGCCUUGCUAUGGACAUUAAUUACAUGUGGCCGUGGUCUGCAAACAGGCCAAGCUCAAGCCCAUCUCUAGAGGAUCUGACCUGUAAUGCUUAGGGCAGCAGCCCGGCACUGGAGCGAGCAGCAUCCACGUGUAGUGCUGGCAGCAGAAGCGACUCAAAGCAACCCAGCUGUAGCAAUGCAUCGGCGCGGGCAGUAACGGAGAGCGACGGCAGGAUCCAUCCCAUCUGCCCACCACAUCUAGGCAGAGGUGGCAGAGGAGCUGGAGCUCCUGGCACGUCUAGGAAAAAGCCUUGGCUGCUGCCCCAGCAUCCAGCUCUGUCUCUGAGUGCGGGGGGACCGAGGAGCCCUGUAGUCCCAGCAUGGAACAACAGGAUGCCACACAGGAUCUGAGCAUUGCUCUUGGAGGCUGGCCCUGGGUUUUGCCACAUCAGCCACACGCUAGUUCAUGAGAGGGGCCAGCGCAGCUCCCCGUCAGUCUGCAGAGGGCCAGCAGCUUUGUUGCCUAGGGGAGGCUCUUGACUUUCCCCACAAGACCCAUCAGGUUGUCUGCUGGGAGUCCUGUUUGCCCUGCUCCCACAGGGUGCAUGCCUGCAGACUGCACGGCACUCACUUUUGGCCCAAAUGCACCUGUCCGGGAGGCUGGUUGCACGUGGGCGCUGUGAGGAUGUGCAGCCCGAUUAUAGCUCCUCCAAGGCAGCUGAGACAAGGUGCUGGCCAUCGCUUCUCCGCGUGGCUGCUGUGCGGAGCCACGCUGCCCCGGGGAGGGGUCUUACCGUGGGGCAGAGCAGGGCAUUGCUGCCAUGGCUCUGACCCAGUGCUUUGCAGCCCUGAAGGUGCCGGCCUGCCUCACUGUGCCUGCAUGGGCAGGGCAGAACUAAACCUCCCACCAACAGCCUUUCUCUGUUUUUAAAUUAGGAGUAGUCACUUUAACCAGCGGCAGCUGAUCUGGAUUGUCCCCUGCAGCUCGCGCUCCGUCCAUGCCUCGGUGCAGAGCGGGGACACCUGAAGCUGGCACGAGCGCAGGCGCUGCUUCCCCAUGCCCAGCAGGCACAGCCCCUCUGUGCACGCGCGUGUGCAUGAGGGAGGUGUGGGGAUAGCCCCUGUGAUGGGGAAUGUCAGCCGUGAAGGUUUUCUCACAGCAAAGAUUUUCUGGAUUAAGUGACGCCUAAGUCUGAUGGAGAUAUUUGGGGUGUUGGACAAUGUUGAAAAUCCAGUUGUGCUCUUUGUUGUCCUUUGACGGGUAUUCACCCCGGCUGUUAUUUCCUGCUCUAGCCCACGGAUGCCUCAGAUAGAGCCUGAUCCUUGGUUUGAUUUGAAUUUCAUUAAACUCCACAGAAGGGCCUUCUCCCAACUCUGAACGCUGGGGAUAUCUGCAGCUGCUGUUGGGUCUAAUGGCACCCAGCGGUGAUGGGAACAGGGCCGAGGGAGGCCGUGCGCCUGACCACGCCUCAGGCGUGACAGGGUCCUGAGCCUUUUCGGGUCGGACUGGGCGCCUGAGUCUGGCACCAGCAAAGGAGAGCUCUUGUGCAAGCCUGCACCUUCACUUUUGCUGCUCAGCUUUUAUCUCUAUUGCCCUAAGGCCCAAUUAUGGAUUUUCAUGGAAAUGUGGGUGGAGGGACACAACUCCUUCUAAUCCUCGGUGCUUAAGCAUUUGACGGUUUCCAAAGUGCCAGUGUCGGUGUAGCCUGAGUCACGCAUCCCCAGGCAGACUGUCUGCACUCUUCACUACUUUUGCAUCUUUUCGUGAAUACCCUUGAAAACCCCAGUAGCUUCUGGAAAGCAGAAAUAUAAGAAACCUGUUGGAGUGGGCUCUCUGGACUGUACAGUGUGUUUAUCCUGCUGUGUCACGUCUGCAUUUACACUAACCGAACUGAUGAAGUCCAGGAUUUUCUCAGAGGGAGCCCAGCCCGCAGGCAUCCCGAAAAGUACAUCAUACGCUUUUUGGUGCUGUGGGAUAUCUGCUCUACUUAUCUUCAGUCCAUUUUUUUUAUAUAUCCUCAGAGCCACACUCAGCAACUCCUCUCAGAAGCAUCCUCAGCCACCGUAUUUAUACACGGCAGCCGCUUCUGUCUGGCUUACAUAGUCCUGCCAGGGAUGAAAUCAGGAGCACCCCAUACUUUCAGAACAUUUAGGUUGCAAAAUCACACCCUGAGCAGGAGAGAAAUGCUGGAGCCAAGGCUGCCAGCAGGAGUUGGCUUUCCCGGUUGUGCUGUGCAGUGCGAUCCUUGGGUGGCAUGACCAGGGUCUGCUCCCCCUGCCUGGCUGAAUUUAUAUUCCCUAAUUUGUCUGCCGUUUUGGAGCCCAGCACCUCCAGCCCAUGAGACAUCUCUCCUCCUCCUCCCGUGUGGACACCAGCUGCCAGAAGCCGCUUGCUUCAUACGCCAGCACAUGCAGGAAUGGCAGCAACAUUAUCUCACUGGUGCCGGCUGGAGAGAAGUCAUAACCUUGCUGGCACCAAAACAGGGAUGAAUCAAAAAUCACACAGGCUCUGUUGCUGCAUCACUGCCAGCUGAUCUUAAUUUUGCUCUCCCCGCUGAUGCCUAGGAAUCUGCCAGUGCUGCUUCUUCCCAAGCAGGAAACCCACGCCCGGUGUGGGUGGGAAUAGCCAGGGCAACAGCGUGCCUUCACACCUCCCUCCCCAGGGGCACAUUCAUUUUGGGAUUUUUGCUCAGGAAUCACUGACUUGUCAUUUCUAACUUUAAUUUCACUUUAAUAUGAUUAUCCUUCCUUUCUGUAAUUUAUUCCCACAGGUGCUUACAGCACCUCCCUGCUUAUUAUCAGAAAGAUUAAUUAAUGAGCUGUUUAUCCUUUACCCCAGAUCAUUAACCAAGCUUGAUUUAAUAAAAUCAAACCAGACAUCUGGCCUAGCAACACCUGACUGGGCAGCCACCUCUUUUAUCAACCUUCUGUGUUCGGCUGACAGCAAAUAUCCAGUGCCAGGCACUGAGCAGCCAUCUCACCAGUGUCUGCAGGGCAGGCACAGUUUUUCGUAUUUAUUAUAGUCCUGUAAUGACUAAGGCUGCAGUCCAGAAAAAUGCUUAAGCUUGUUUUUAACUGCAUAGGUGCAGCUAAGUACCCUUAAUGGUUGUAUGACAUGACCAUAUACUUAAGUGCUUUCUGAACUGCAGCUUUAUUGAGGUUUCUGUUCUUGUCAUACCACACAGCCUCCCGUUUUGCCAUCCCUUUUUUCCAGCGUGGAAAAAGAGUAUUUGCAGGCUGCUCCCCUUACCAGAAUUCCCCAAAUGCCCCAUGCUGGGUGAGACGUGCCCAGGCUCUCCCCGGGCAGAGCUGCAGUAAUGACUGCGUUUUUGUCCCUACCCUGCUCCCAGGGGUAGGAGCUGGCCCUGCCUGGGCUCCUGUGCCUGGCCUUAGUGCCUGGUUGCACCCCUCUUCCCCUGGGGCUGACAGGCAGUGGCAGAACUGGGACGAGGUCCUGCUGCGAGGUUUUGGGUUUUGCAGAGGGUGCUGCAAACCUGUCCGUUGCAUGGGGAAUUGGCUGCCUCCGCGGCUCAUCCAGGGGUGGCCGUGCAGCCUGGCUUCUGUGCUCGGUCUGGCUUGAAGGCUCCCAGUUGACGUUACAGCCCUGCAGAAACAGCCAAGAGCUGUAACUCCCUUUAUAAUUCCCUUGGCACUGAGCAAUAUUUGGGACCUGCCCACUGUGCGUGCGUGAGGCAGAUGGAGUCUCUGCACAUCACUGGACUCCUGUGCCUACUUGCACCAGCUCAGGACCCUGCUAUCAAGCAGCAGCCCUAUACUGCACAAGCACGGGCAUACAAAUCCUCUGUAAGCCAGACCGGUGGAGCAGGUGUCAGGGAAAAGGGAGAUCCCAGGCUGCUGUGAAGCCAUGGGAGAUGGGAGCAGCAUCUUCCUAUUGUACCUACCUAUUGCAAACUGAUCUGGAUAUGCCUCUGCUCCAUGCUUCAGGUGUCUGCCUGGUAAAUGCAAAGGCCGGUCUCCACCACAAGCAGCUGCAAGCAGAGCCUGUAUCUGUAAAAUGAGAAGCAUGGCCAGGGAGCGCAAGAGGAAGGGACGGCAAGGCAAGGCAAGGCAGCAGCAGCUGGAGGAGCGCUUGGUUCUGCAGGGCUGCCUGUGGCGGAGGCUGCCAGCCCUGCCUGCACCCGCAGUUCCGUGGCUUAAUCACCUUCCCGCUGCGCCUGCCCCGACCAGUGAGGCUGCUGGUUUCAUGUCCAGUGAACCCCAGUCACUUCUGAGUUAGCUGCAAAAAACUGUGAUGCUCCUCUUCCAACAGCGAUGGAAGUACUACAGCCAGGACAUUGAAAACAAAGCAAAAUAAACGGACCGCGCUGAGGAAGCAGCCAGGAGGGGAAAGGAGGGGAAGGCAUGAGUAAGAGCCAACAGGAAAAGCCCUGGAUUUGUUUGCAGGGCACAUAUUAGCAGGGAGUGGCGGCUGCAGCGAUUGCUCUUUGCAACCUGGUUGCGUAAGGAGAGACUGAUUUCCUGAGGCUGCUGGGACAAAGCACAGCAAAAUUGUCAUCGAGGAGAGGAGAGAGCUGGGCACGGGCAUAGGAUCAGUCCUCACCCUGCUCCUGGCCUCCUAGCAUCCCCGUGCCAACCUGUCCCUCCUCAGCAGCCUCCUCCUUUUCUGGCCUUUGCCAUGCACGCAGCUACGGGCACAGUUAAAAGUUUCUCGAGAUAAAGAGGGGACUUGAGUUUCCAGGAUGAUCUGCUUAGCAGCUGUUGCUUGCAAAUGACAGUCUGGAGGAGGACGAUUUACAUUCAGCAAAGAGACUAGACUGGGAUGACUGAGGUCCCCCUGGCUAGCAAUGAGGUGUACGGAUGACAUCUGUGGAAGGGCUACCAUUCAUAGUGAUGAUAAUCAUGCUUGUAUCUCAUCUGUCCGCUUUCAUCUGCAGCACCUUGGUGGAGAAGGAAGGGCUCAUCUGGCCCAUAAAACAGGAAGAUUUGAAGUGACUUUCUUGUGGUGGCACAGCCUGCCACUGGCUGGGAGAAACUCAGUGUCCUACUUGCUAGGCCACGCGUGGCAUUUUGUGUAGCACAAGGUGGUCACGCUGCUCCAUCCACAUGAGCGACAUCUGGCAGGAUGGACCAGCCGGCACCAAAGAACCAAGUCAAUCAGCUCGUGAAGAGCAUCAGCUUUUACAGUGCUUUGAGCUCAGCUGGGAGAGGCAGCAAGCACGCAGACCUUGAUAUUGGCAGCCACUAGCAACACAUCAGCCUCGAAAGGAAGAGUAAUGGAAAUGCAGCCUGUUCCCGGGAGAGGAGCUCGUUGUAAAUGGGAUGGAUAUGUGAAGAAGUGCUCUGCUUCGUGUGCAUGAGUGGAAAUAACCUUAGAUAAAGAGGUUAAUAGUGGUGCGGCAUAUUCCACCUGGCCCAACUCUGGGUGCUGCGAUGCCUGCCUCCCACUGCUGGAAAUGCAUGGUCGGGGUAUGUUCUCCCAGAAAAGCAUCUGCAGUGCGGUAAAAUUAGCAGGGAUCCUUUCCGCAGUGAGGAUCCAAACUGCUCUAAGACAAGCCUGAGAUGCACAAACUGCUCCUGUGCUGAGAUGCAAGGGAUGACUGCUCAAACUCUCCUCAAGGUAAAAAAGUUAACUCCUCAUGGUAACAACCCCUGGCACACACUAAUCCUGUCCCGGACCGACACUCGUACCUUUCCCCCUCUACUUUCACAAGCAGAAUCAUAGAAUCAUAGAAUUGUCUAGGUUGGAAAAGACCUUUGAGAUCAUCGAGU